UACGAAGGGGGCUAGCGUUGCUCGGAAUGACUGGGCGUAAAGGGCGCGUAGGCGGAUGGCACAGUCAGAUGUGAAAUUCCCGGGCUUAACCUGGGGGCUGCAUUUGAUACGUGUGAUCUAGAGUGAGGAAGAGGGUCGUGGAAUUCCCAGUGUAGAGGUGAAAUUCGUAGAUAUUGGGAAGAACACCGGUGGCGAAGGCGGCGACCUGGUCCUUGACUGACGCUGAGGCGCGUAAGCGUGGGGAGCAAACAGG
Molecule: ribosomal RNA, 253 nt
Filed under: uncultured bacterium
Lineage: Bacteria
Description: partial 16S ribosomal RNA
Rfam family: Bacterial small subunit ribosomal RNA
Source: RNAcentral